Molecule: small nucleolar RNA, 107 nt
Organism: Pistacia vera
Lineage: Eukaryota; Viridiplantae; Streptophyta; Magnoliopsida; Sapindales; Anacardiaceae
Source: RefSeq, a predicted model, not a curated record
AAACCAUGAUGUGGACGCCUCCUCAAUAAUCCUUUGUAUCUUUCCCAAGCCUCAUAUAGUGAUUUUGUCUCUUCCUGUAGAAAAGAUGUGAUAUCAUUUCUCAACUU